UUUGCCCCCAGCCAAGAUUUCCUCUGUUUGUGCUUUUAGCUCUAAACCAAUUCUUUGUCCCCAGUUUUAUGUGCCUGAUCCUGUAGUCCUGAGGAAGGACCAGUCCAACAGUUGCCAUUUUCCCUCUCUUUCUCACUUUCCCAUCAGUGCACUCUGCAACUUGAAGCUAUGUAUGCACAGUGUGUCAAACACUGAUUUUCAGCUUCAAGAGGAAAUCAGAGAAGGGAUUUUUGUGCUGGGGGACCUGGUCUAACCCACUGCUCUGUCUCAGAAUUAACUAAAACCACAAUUCUUCAAGGAUUUUAACUGUAGUAUUCUUGCUUCUAAAUGCCUGAUGAGGAAAAGCCAUGUCAGUGGGGUGCAGCAUCGUCCCUUUUGCAGGGAAAGAGGUGGGAAAUGGCACAUUUUGAGGCUUCUAUGGAACUGUUUCCUGGGGCUGGAGAGCAGACUCUGCCUUCCUGCCCGUGCACUCGUUUGCUGAAGCUGAGCAGGGUCAUUUGCACUCUGGGGUUGGUGUCCCUCGUGUCCUCCUUGGAAGUUCUAUUUGUUGUGCCAAGGGGAGUUGUCAGGGACUGGAGGUGGUAAUGGAAUUUAGCAGUUGAGGAGACUCUGAGAAAUUCCAGUGAAUUUGAAACACAAUUAAAGAAAUCAAACCAGAAGCCUCUGUCACCAUCCUCUGUGGACAUUGGCCAAGGGGAGAGUCACAUCUGUGCCACUGCAGGUGCAGCAGAGCCCUGGCUCCCAAAAUGCUCCAAAGCUCCUGGUGGGCACAGGCUGAGGGUCAUUUUGAGCUCUGCUGCACGGUCCCUGUGUGAGGAAGCACAACAGAGAGAGCUGGAUUUCUCUGGAAGGUGUGACCUGCUCUUUGAAAGUGGGGGAAAAUACUUAUUUUUAAUCACCUUCAUCUCAAGAGCUGUAAUUGAGGUUAUGAAGUUAUAGUGGAUUAACAGCUCUGCACUGCUGUUGGCUCCUGUGUAUGGUGGUGGAAAAGAACCCAUGAGCAGCUUUGAUCCGAAGGGACUAAAACAGAUGGAAGCCUUGGGAUCCUCCUGUGCUUGGUAAAGGAACAGUCAGUAAAAUGAUAGCAAAGUAUUAGUUCUAGGGGAGAGAAAAAAAAAAAAGAUACUUGCAAUUCCCUUUACAUUUGCAUAAUUUUCUUUACGUUGCAAAAAUAAUUGAAUGUGGCUCCAACGUGCUGGUCCUGGGAAGCCUCCUGGAAAGGCAGGAGGUACCUGACAGCACUUGGACUGGGCUGUUUUGCCUGGGCUGUUAAUUAUUUUCAUUUAUGAAAUUCUAAAUUCGAAAUUCUGUUUUAAAUAUUGAAUAUUUCUGGUGAAAUGACAGCUUGUGCUCGCUUUAGGAUAUGCCUGCCUGGUAAUUAUUCAUGAGGAGAACAGCUGAAAACAAACUCGUUAUACACCUUGGCAAGUCCCUGUGAUUUGAAUUCUGUGAAAUUUCCCCAUGGCCAUGUGACUUUAUUCUGAAGUACUCGAGCAGUGCAGAUGUCCAGAAUGCCAGAGCUGUUACAAAUGUUAUUCCUGUAGUCAAAGUUUUGAAUCAUCAGCGCUUCAGGAAAAGGGGGGGGGGGGAAAGAAGAAAAAAGAGGAGCAAAGACUGAUGAUACAGGGUGUGUUUUGAGUGUUUGUCACAUCCUUCAUUACGUGCAGCUCUCGUACAUUACCAGAGCACAGACAGAUCUCAGGAAUAUAUCUCAGUGCAUGUUCAGGGCACGGAAUGGAAUUUUCAAAUUUCCAAUGCCUGGAAGAACAGCCCACUGAAAGGCACAGAGUAUUUUAACUGUCUCCUUUAAGCCAUGAUACAAUAAGCAUCAGCACUGACAUUUUUGGAAGUUUAGAAGUAAGACAAUUUCUGUGUAACAUUGGAUGAAGAAUCAAAAUGCUUCAGAUUUAGCUAAAAAUAAAACAUUUCUCUACUUUCGCCUUUUCUUUUUCUUCUC
Long non-coding RNA from Pseudopipra pipra, 1957 nucleotides. RefSeq lists it as uncharacterized. The record is from RefSeq and is a predicted model, not a curated record. The transcript has 3 exons. Lineage: Eukaryota; Metazoa; Chordata; Aves; Passeriformes; Pipridae.